Molecule: long non-coding RNA, 321 nt
Filed under: Mytilus galloprovincialis (Mediterranean mussel)
Lineage: Eukaryota; Metazoa; Mollusca; Bivalvia; Mytilida; Mytilidae
Source: RNAcentral
ACUUACAUGUUUAAUCCCGCCACAUUAUUUAUGUAUGUGCCUGUCCCAAGUCAGCAGCCUGUAAUUCAGUGGUUGUCGUUUGUUUAUGUGUUACAUAUUUGUUUUUUCGUUCAUUUUUUUUUUAGAUAAAUAAGGCCGUUUGUUUUCUCGUUUGAAUUGUUUUACAUUGUCUUAUCUGGGCCUUUUAUAGCUCACUAUGCGGUAUGGACUUUGCUCAUUGUUGAAGGCCGUACGGUGACCUAUAGUUGUUAAUAUCUGUGUCAUGUUGGUCUUUUGUGGAUAGUUGUCUCAUUGGCAAUCAUACCACAUCUUCUUUUUUAU